UGCAGAGUUUGGUGGGGAUUUCCUUCCUAGUCCGAGUGCCAUCCGAAUCACCAGUGUUAACUGGUUCGUUUGCGUUGUCACUGCUUACCCGAAGUUAGCGCGGAAGGGUGUCCUUGAUGAUUUGGAAAUUUGAUCUUCAGAAACAUGGAUGACUUAAAUUUUCUAAGAGGUGUGUCGAGACACUGCAUAGAUGAAUGCAUUUUGUAACAAGGCUAUGAAUAAAUAUUUAAUAUGCUG
Molecule: long non-coding RNA, 237 nt
Organism: Peromyscus eremicus (cactus mouse)
Lineage: Eukaryota; Metazoa; Chordata; Mammalia; Rodentia; Cricetidae
Exons: 2
Source: RefSeq, a predicted model, not a curated record